CCCUGAAGCGGGGGACGAACAGCUUGAAAGAGCUGCUAAUACCGCAUGUGGAUCGCCCUGGCAUCAGGGAUUAUCCAAAGGCUGCUAGUAAUAGUGGUCACUUCAGGAUGGGCCCGCGGCCUAUCAGCUAGUUGGAGGGGUAACGGCCCACCAAGGCUUCGACGGGUAGCUGGUCUGAGAGGACGAUCAGCCGGAUUGGGACUGAGAUACGGCCCAG
This 217-nucleotide ribosomal RNA is filed under the name uncultured bacterium. Its description in RNAcentral is "partial 16S ribosomal RNA". It matches the Rfam family "Bacterial small subunit ribosomal RNA", at positions 129 to 334 of the family's 1533-position model. The record is from RNAcentral.